This 492-nucleotide ribosomal RNA is filed under the name uncultured bacterium. Its description in RNAcentral is "partial 16S ribosomal RNA". It matches the Rfam family "Bacterial small subunit ribosomal RNA", at positions 29 to 507 of the family's 1533-position model. The record is from RNAcentral.
AGUGAACGCUGGCGGUAGGCCUAACACAUGCAAGUCGAACGGCAGCACAGUAAGAGCUUGCUCUUACGGGUGGCGAGUGGCGGACGGGUGCGGAAUACCUCGGAAUCUACUUUUUCGUGGGGGCUAACGUAGGGAAACAUACGCUAAUACCGCAUACGACCUACGGGUGAAAGCAGGGGAUCUUCGGAUCUUGCGCGAUUGUAUGAGCCGAUGUCGGAUUAGCUAGUUGGCGGGGUAAAGGCCCACCAAGGCGACGAUCCGUAGCUGGUCUGAGAGGAUGAUCAGUCACACUGGAACUGAGACACGGUCCAGACUCCUACGGGAGGCAGCAGUGGGGAAUAUUGGACAAUGGGCGCAAGCCUGAUCCAGCCAUACCGCGUGGGUGAAGAAGGCCUUCGGGUUGUAAAGCCCUUUUGGUGGGAAAGAAAAGCAGCAGGUUAAUACCCCGCUGUUCUGACGGUACCCAAAGAAUAAGCACCGGCUAACUUCGUG